Podarcis lilfordi (Lilford's wall lizard) is the source of this 4177-nucleotide non-coding RNA. The record is from the annotation of a GenBank genome assembly. NCBI's taxonomy places the organism in Eukaryota, Metazoa, Chordata, Lepidosauria, Squamata, Lacertidae.
AGACAAUGAGCCCUCUCAUCCAUGAAUUUGCCUAUUCCUCUUUUAAAGCCAUCCAAAUUGGUGGCUAUCACCAUCUCCUGGGGGAACAAACCAGUUUUAAGGUUUAUUGUUACAUUACCAUGUUGCAUGCCCUCUUUUCACCAAUGAUUGCCAAAUGCUGCAAAAAAAUGUGAUCAGUUUUAACUGUACACAAACCCAGAAGGUCAAGAUGAUUACCCUAGCUCCAUAGUUGCAUUAGGAGGAAGUGUGACAUAGACAGUUAUCAUGCUUGCAACCCAGGUCAGAAAAGGGGGUAGAGAAGCCCAGUUCAGAUUCAACAGUGGAACGGUCUCCCUCAGGAGGUUGUGGACUCUCCUUCCUUGGAGGUUUUUAAGCAGAGGUUGGAUGGACAUCUGUCAUGGAUGCUUUAGUUGCAGGGGUUUGGAUUAGAUGACCCUCAGUGUUGCUUCCAACUCUACAAUUCUACGAUUCAUUUAUUCUAUGAUUCCUCUAUUUUAGCUCUUUUGACUCAUUGUUCUUUAUUCGCUUUACUCUCUAGAGUUCAGGAAAGUCUUGUGCUACAAACUCAAACCAGUUCCUAGCAUGUGAGUCCUUGGUAUUGUCGUUCUGUGAGAGAACUGGCAUUACUACAUGAAAGUAACAUUCCUUUAGGAAUCCUUACAAGCUGCGUUGAGAUCCUCACACAGGUGCUAUAUGUAGAAUUCAUACUGGCAUGAAUAUGAUCCAUACCCACUGGGCCAUAUCUUGAUUGGCAAUAGGGCAGGCUUCAGUCCUUAAGUAGGCAUGCAGAUGCAUUUGCAUACAUGCACAACGUUGCAGAUCUGUAUGUAAUGAAUCCUCUGGGGAGCUUGAUAUAGGGAGCGCUUUCAUACUAGACUGAGUGGGUGAGUACAGGAGUAGGAAUUCCUAAAAGGAAUGUUGACAGGCAGCCUGCAUUGUGCUCAAGCAACAGCACACACACUGAGUUUCCUUUUAAUUUAAUUUUACAGUGGAUUAGUCACCACCAGAGUCAAAGGGGCAGUAAUAUUGCCUAUGCGUUAUGCACACUGGUGGUUCACAUGAGUUCAUGUCCCCAGCAAACUGGCUCAGAAUUAAUAUAGCUCAUCUGUUGCAGAGGGUGGGAUGAAAAGUCACUGCAGAAUUAGACUAAUGCAAAGCAGGGAGUGUGAAUAUCUUAUCAUUAGGCAAGCAAAAUUCUCUGGAUCAUGGCUAAGCAUACAAGACCAGAGAAUGUAGCCCAUUACAAGUUGGAAGCAAAAGGCUUUUGAACUGGAUCUAUUACUAUAGAUGCUUCAUGUAAGCAAAAUAUAUAUUAUUUAGUUGUUACAUUUUUGUUCUGCCCUUCCUCCAAGCAGCACAUGGCUGUGUACGUGGUUCUCCCCCACCAUCUCAUCCUUACAAGAACUCUUUGAAGUAGUCCAUGUCAGACCUGAUCACUACACCAGCCCCAGAUUGGCAUAGUCAACAUCAGAUAUUUGUCUGCCUCUCUUCCUUCUGCCCCAGAAGAAUGGGGUAAGCAAUGGGGUUAUGGAUGAGGUGGUAACUAUGAGACUUCAUCAUGUCUCACUGCUGCCCUGGUGUGGUUUGGAUUGCUCUGUCAGGCUGUGAUCCUGGGGAUAUCGAAUUACUCUGUCCAGUGAUUAAGAGGGAAUCUAUUUGUCAGACCCCUCACCUGCCCAACACUGUGGAAAAAUCUGCAGCCCUGAUCUGGAAGAUGUCAAAGCUCCAAUAUCAGCAGGCCUUGAAAGAAGACAUGUCAGGGUAGUAUGUAUGGUGGAUGUGUUAUAAGUGAAUCCAUGGACUUCUCUGCUGCUCUCCACACCACCAGUGCUCCCAACCUACAAAGAGAUGGAUGGCAGCUCCUAAAUUGGCAUAAAUCUAUCCUGUUAAUCCUCCACCCCGAAACUGUUUAAAAGCAAAGCAAAGAGGGGAAAUAGUAAAAAGAGCACAAUAGCACUCCUCCAGACUUCUCUUCUGUCCUGCCUGCAGAAGCCCUGCGAUCAGGUGAUUAAAAUGUCUUUGGUCCCCGCCCCCCUAUCUUGCCAUAGGAUGGCAGCUUGAAUUUCCAAGGCAUAAGAUAUCACACAAUUUCCACUCCAUCUAUUCCAAUUCCAUAUCCCACUACGAGAGUAAAAAGACACUUAGGUCUGCAUUUUCUGUCAGGAGAUGUGCUAUUAAUGCAUAUCAUAGGAGGCUGUGAACUUGCUGGGUCACUGAAGUGGGUAGGGAAGCCAUUGUGUGGAUGGCUAAAGGCAUGGGUGGAGAGCUUCAUGCAGUCAUACUAGUCACACUUUUCUGGAGACAGCUACUAUUUCCAUCCUUGCCUGGUAAGAACUGUUGCCUUGCUUCCUCUUGAAGUCAGCUUAGGGGAGCACCUCCCUGGAACUAUUCAAGCCAAGCUAUUGAUUCUGGAGUUGGGUCAACCAGUCCCUCAGUAGGAACACCAGUUACUCAAAUGAGAAAAAUUCCCAACGUAUUCAAGAAUACAUUGGAUUUUAUAAGUCUCUAUGGGCAAACCACAUUAAUAGCCCCAUUCCUUCAGGGGUAGUCAGUUGCUAUCAUUCCAAACCACAUCAGGGAGAGAUCCAUCCAUGACCAGGGGGUGAUGGUUAUACCCUCCAGUCACCAAAUCUCUCCCAAUCUACUCUGUUCCAAAAACCAGGUCAAGAGUGUGUCCUGCAAUGUGCAUUGGACCCAUGGUGCAUUGAACAGCCCAUGAUUAUCACGGUGAACAUGAAUACAUGAACGGGACCCAACAAAAUGAGUCUAGCAUGGUCAUUGACUUUAGUAAGACUAUUAGCUCCACAAAGUGCAAAAUUUAAUCUGGAUUCAAAGGAUCUGUUGGUUGUUGUUAUUUGAUCUUCAGUGCCCCAGGAGCUAGAUCAAAAUCAUGCCAAUUUAACUGCUCUAGAGACUCAACUUAAGACAAUGCUUGUUGGGAAAUGGCCAUUUACAUUUGACAAACAGAGCUCAGAAGGAGGCUUAAUUAGGAUUGUCAAUUUACAUUCUCCCUGCAGCAAACUGGUUUCCCCCAUCAAAUUUUAUUAAGACGAAGUCAGAAAAUAACUGCAAUGUUUUUCUAUAUAUUAAUAUUGAUUUAAGUCUUCCCAUGCUCAUGCUUUUGUAGCCAAAACUGCACCACUGAUAACCAAGGGUAAAGCACCCGCAGACUCAGGGUAACCUCAAGGUUUACACAAAUACAAUAGAUCUGAAGGGGGGGGGAUGGAGGAACCUCAUGGUAGCCUCGUAAUAAUGGCAUGACAUGCAGAAAGAUUAGUGGAGGGGGAACUGACUAUUGGGUGGAGGAGGGAAUAGAAUGUAGUGGCUGGAACAGAGCAGAGAAACAUAGUUCACAUAUAUAAAGGAUAGGAAGAACCAUCUAAUUGUCUGGAUAAGUCACUUCCUGGUUCAUGAUGAGAAGCCAUUUUUAAAUGUCCCCAGGGAUGGAAGAAAGGCUACGAACAGACAUAUGUUAAACAAUGUAAUAGAGCUGGAGUUGAGCACAAAGUGUGUCUACCCCACCUAAAAAAGAACAAUAAUGGAAGCUGAGAAACCUCAAUACAGCCCAGUGAGAGCUGGGGAUGCUUAGUGAGCACAGAAAUACACAGCUGUCUUGAAAAACAAUAAUAAAGGUUUAUUUGAGCCUAGAAUUGGGUGUGUAUGUACCAAGCCUAUGUUGCUCAAUGACAUCUUAUUCUUCCAAACAAGAUGCUGUUAUCAGCCAUGGCAUAUGUGGUGGACAUUUAUCCAUUUCUCAACUCUGCCUUGGGUUCCAAUUGCAUUGCUCAGUACUGCUCAGUGCCUUGUAAAAGGUUUUCAUCUGAUCUCAUCUAAAUCUGUUGGCUGUAGGGACAGAAGUAAAAAGAGAUGCUUUAUAGAUGAACAGAAAAUUCCCUGGGGGGAUUUGUCUUUCAGUCUGAAAUGUGCUCAGGGGAUUGGGCGGAAUAUUGGCUGUUUCCAUGCAGUCACCAAGGGAGUGGUAGAAAGUGAAAUGUAUAAGUGUGUAGUAGGGAAACAGGAAAUAAAUUCCUUCCUUUGCAGUCACAGCUCUCUUACGAUGAAAAUGCAUCUCCCCAGAUUUCUUUGUGUUGCCAAUGGCACAAGCUUGAUUGAUGAAAUACUUGUGAAAUGGUUACAUAUGUGUUUCUGUGUUGCAGUGUAUACAAGGAAGUUGUGC